UCUUAAGUCAGAGGUGAAAGGCUACGGCUCAACCGUAGUAAGCCUUUGAAACUGGGGAACUUGAGUGCAGGAGAGGAGAGUGGAAUUCCUAGUGUAGCGGUGAAAUGCGUAGAUAUUAGGAGGAACACCAGUGGCGAAGGCGACUUUCUGGACAGUAACUGACGUUGAGGCACGAAAGUGUGGGGAGCAAACAGG
This 195-nucleotide ribosomal RNA is filed under the name uncultured bacterium. RNAcentral describes it as "partial 16S ribosomal RNA". It matches the Rfam family "Bacterial small subunit ribosomal RNA", at positions 581 to 776 of the family's 1533-position model. The record is from RNAcentral.